AUUGAACGCUGGCGGCAGGCCUAACACAUGCAAGUCGAACGGUAACAGGAAGCAGCUUGCUGCUUUGCUGACGAGUGGCGGACGGGUGAGUAAUGUCUGGGAAACUGCCUGAUGGAGGGGGAUAACUACUGGGAACGGUAGCUAAUACCGCAUAAUGUCGCAAGACCAAAGAGGGGGACCUUCGGGCCUCUUGCCAUCGGAUGUGCCCAGAUGGGAUUAGCUAGUAGGUGGGGUAAAGGCUCACCUAGGCGACGAUCCCUAGCUGGUCUGAGAGGAUGACCAGCCACACUGGAACUGAGACACGGUCCAGACUCCUACGGGAGGCAGCAGUGGGGAAUAUUGCACAAUGGGCGCAAGCCUGAUGCAGCCAUGCCGCGUGUAUGAAGAAGGCCUUCGGGUUGUAAAGUACUUUCAGCGGGGAGGAAGGGAGUAAAGUUAAUACCUUUGCUCAUUGACGUUACCCGCAGAAGAAGCACCGGCUAACUCCGUG
Molecule: ribosomal RNA, 490 nt
Filed under: uncultured bacterium
Lineage: Bacteria
Description: partial 16S ribosomal RNA
Rfam family: Bacterial small subunit ribosomal RNA
Source: RNAcentral